UACGUAGGGUGCAAGCGUUGUCCGGAAUUAUUGGGCGUAAAGAGCUCGUAGGCGGUCUGUCGCGUCGGCUGUGAAAACCCAGGGCUCAACCCUGGGCCUGCAGUCGAUACGGGCAGACUAGAGUCCGGCAGGGGAGACUGGAAUUCCUGGUGUAGCGGUGGAAUGCGCAGAUAUCAGGAGGAACACCGGUGGCGAAGGCGGGUCUCUGGGCAGUAACUGACGCUGAGGAGCGAAAGCGUGGGGAGCGAACGGG
Molecule: ribosomal RNA, 253 nt
Filed under: uncultured bacterium
Lineage: Bacteria
Description: partial 16S ribosomal RNA
Rfam family: Bacterial small subunit ribosomal RNA
Source: RNAcentral